CCUACGGGUGACAGCAGUGAGGAAUAUUGGUCAAUGGGAGAGAUCCUGAACCAGCCAAGCCGCGUGAGGGAAGACGGCCCUAUGGGUUGUAAACCUCUUUUGUCGGAGAACAAAACCCGGGACGUGUCCCGGACUGCGUGUAUCCGAAGAAAAAGCAUCGGCUAACUCCGUGCCAGUAGCCGCGGUCAUAUGGAGGAUGAGAGCGUUAUCCGGAUUUACUGGGUGUAAAGGGCGUGCAGCCGGAGAGGCAAGUCAGAUGUGAAAUCCGCGGGCUCAACUCGCGAACUGCAUUUGAAACUGCUUCCCUUGAGUAUCGGAGAGGUAAUCGGAAUUCCUAGUGUAGCGGUGAAAUGCGUAGAUAUUAGGAAGAACACCAGUGGCGAAGGCGGAUUACUGGACGACAACUGACGGUGAGGCGCGAAAGCGUGGGGAGCAAACAGGAUUAGAUACCCCGGUAGUC
This 460-nucleotide ribosomal RNA is filed under the name uncultured bacterium. Its description in RNAcentral is "partial 16S ribosomal RNA". It matches the Rfam family "Bacterial small subunit ribosomal RNA", at positions 338 to 795 of the family's 1533-position model. The record is from RNAcentral.